This 22-nucleotide microRNA is filed under the name Capra hircus (goat). RNAcentral describes it as "chi-miR-2284e". The record is from miRBase by way of RNAcentral. Lineage: Eukaryota; Metazoa; Chordata; Mammalia; Artiodactyla; Bovidae.
AAAACUUGAAUGAACUCUUUGG